GGGCGUUUGGUCUAGGGGUAUGAUUUUCGCUUUGCAUGUGAAAGGCCGGGGGUUCAAAUCCCUCAACGUCCA
Molecule: transfer RNA, 72 nt
Filed under: Eutypa lata UCREL1
Lineage: Eukaryota; Fungi; Ascomycota; Sordariomycetes; Xylariales; Diatrypaceae
Description: tRNA-Ala (TGC) (tRNA-Ala-TGC-2-1)
Rfam family: tRNA
About the family: Transfer RNA (tRNA) molecules are approximately 80 nucleotides in length. Their secondary structure includes four short double-helical elements and three loops (D, anti-codon, and T loops).
Source: RNAcentral